Molecule: small nuclear RNA, 103 nt
Organism: Mirounga angustirostris (Northern elephant seal)
Lineage: Eukaryota; Metazoa; Chordata; Mammalia; Carnivora; Phocidae
Source: RefSeq, a predicted model, not a curated record
GCUUGCUUCUGCAGCCAUAUGCUAAAUCUGGAAUGAUACAGAGAAGAUUAGCAGGGCUCUGCACAAGGAUGACAUCUAGAGUCAUGAAACAGUCCAUAUAUUU